Acipenser ruthenus (sterlet) is the source of this 85-nucleotide small nucleolar RNA. RefSeq annotates it as small nucleolar RNA SNORD60. Lineage: Eukaryota; Metazoa; Chordata; Actinopteri; Acipenseriformes; Acipenseridae. The transcript has a single exon. The record is from RefSeq and is a predicted model, not a curated record.
AGCCGGUGAUGAAUUUAUAAUUUUCUGACACCUCGUAUGAGUGCUGCAAAAGCAUUUUGAUUACACUUUUUUUAUUCUGAGGCUU